AAGACAUAGUCAUUAAAGGCGAAUGUUAGGGCAACCCAUCCCUGACCUAGACAGAGAGCCCAAGACCAGGCACUCUGUAUAAAUGACCUCAUUCAGGGUGCUCAGACCCAGAGCAUGAAGAAGAUACCGGCUUGAAUCUCACUUCCAACAAGCAGUUACUCUGAACCAGAUCUGACCAGUACUGAAGACGAGUCCAGGAGUUCAAAUCCUUUGUGCCAAGAUCAACUAGAAAGCCAAUAAUGGUGCAUAUGACUAGGCUUACCCUCAACUUAUCCAGAAGGGAUCUGAAGCUGCACUUCUGAGACUCAAACAAGCACUUGAUCUGUCUUCGAAGCAAGUCCUCAGAACCAUCAGCACUUUCUAUUGCUGGUUUCUUCAACUCAGAGCCUGUGCAGAGCUCUUGUUGUUUGGUUUGUCUGCCCGGAUUCGUGUCCCGCUUUAGAUUCCAGUCCCCACUCGGUGGUGGUGCCUUCUCUCUCAGCAGCUUCUGACUGAAUCAGCUAUGCCAUUCACUGAACUCCUUCUUUCCAGCCUCACUCUUCACUCAGCAUUUCUAACAAGCUCCUCCCUUUUCCCAUUGGGGAAGUAUGUUCUAACAAGGGAAGGAUCCUGUGAAAAGUGAGAAAACUGAAUCCAAGAUGGCAAAUUAAUUUGCUCCAGCUCAGACAACGGGGCAGGUACGCAGAGCUGGAUUUGAACCCACCUGGGAUCACAGAAGACAAUUGACAAAUCAUAAAGGUGACUAAGUUAUACGACAACAGCAGAGCACCACCCAGACAUGCUGGUUCACACUUUCUCAUCAGCUCUGUGACUUCGCUUGGGAACCUGAUGUGACCUGCUAUUCUCUUGCCUUUGUGAACAUCAAAGUCUUACACAGAAAAUACUUGAGAAAUAACUGCUGAUCAACCACUUCAGGAUGGCACCAUGGCAAAAGCUAGUGGGCUUCCCAUAGGAGAUUUGGUGUUUCUUUUUGCUGGCUCCAUUAAAGAAUAUGAGAUGUCUAUACUUAACCCAU
Mastomys coucha (southern multimammate mouse) is the source of this 1015-nucleotide long non-coding RNA. RefSeq lists it as uncharacterized. NCBI's taxonomy places the organism in Eukaryota, Metazoa, Chordata, Mammalia, Rodentia, Muridae. The record is from RefSeq and is a predicted model, not a curated record. The transcript is spliced from 5 exons.